GAAUGCUGACAUAAGUAACGAUAAUGCGGGUGAAAAACCCGCACGCCGGAAGACCAAGGGUUCCUGUCCAACGUUAAUCGGGGCAGGGUGAGUCGACCCCUAAGGCGAGGCUGAAAAGCGUAGUCGAUGGGCAACGGGUUAAUAUUCCCGUACUGGUGGUAACUGCGAAGGGGGGACGGAGAAAGCUAAAUCAUCCGGGCGACGGUUGUCCCGGUUUAAGCGUGCAGGUGGACUGACCAGGCAAAUCCGGUCGGUUGUUAACACUGAGGCGUGACGACGAGCCACUACGGUGGUGAAGUGAUUGAUGCUCUGCUUCCGGGAAAAGCCUCUAAGCUCCAGGUUACCAUUAAUCGUACCCCAAACCGACACAGGUGGUCAGGUAGAGAAUACUCAGGCGCUUGAGAGAACUCGGGUGAAGGAACUAGGCAAAAUGGUGCCGUAACUUCGGGAGAAGGCACGCUGGCAUUAGGUGAAGUGGUUUACCCAUGGAGCUGAAGCCAGCCGCAGAUACCAGCUGGCUGCAACUGUUUAUUAAAAACACAGCACUGUGCAAACACGAAAGUGGACGUAUACGGUGUGACGCCUGCCCGGUGCCGGAAGGUUAAUUGAUGAGGUCAGCCGCAAGGCGAAGCUUCUGAUCGAAGCCCCGGUAAACGGCGGCCGUAACUAUAACGGUCCUAAGGUAGCGAAAUUCCUUGUCGGGUAAGUUCCGACCUGCACGAAUGGCGUAAUGAUGGCCAGGCUGUCUCCACCCGAGACUCAGUGAAAUUGAACUCGCUGUGAAGAUGCAGUGUACCCGCGGCAAGACGGAAAGACCCCGUGAACCUUUACUAUAGCUUGACACUGAACAUUGAGCCUUGAUGUGUAGGAUAGGUGGGAGGCAACGAAGUGUGGACGCCAGUCUGCACGGAGCCAUCCUUGAAAUACCACCCUUUAACGUUUGAUGUUCUAACCCGGGUCCAUAAUCUGGAUCGGGGACCGUGUCUGGUGGGUAGUUUGACUGGGGCGGUCUCCUCCCAAAGAGUAACGGAGGAGCACGAAGGUUGGCUAAGCAUGGUCGGACAUCAUGCGGUUAGUGCAAAGGCAUAAGCCAGCUUGACUGCGAGAGUGACGGCUCGAGCAGGUACGAAAGUAGGUCUUAGUGAUCCGGUGGUUCUGAAUGGAAGGGCCAUCGCUCAACGGAUAAAAGGUACUCCGGGGAUAACAGGCUGAUACCGCCCAAGAGUUCAUAUCGACGGCGGUGUUUGGCACCUCGAUGUCGGCUCAUCACAUCCUGGGGCUGAAGUAGGUCCCAAGGGUAUGGCUGUUCGCCAUUUAAAGUGGUACGCGAGCUGGGUUUAGAACGUCGUGAGACAGUUCGGUCCCUAUCUGCCGUGGGCGCUGGAAGAUUGAGAGGGGUUGCUCCUAGUACGAGAGGACCGGAGUGAACGCACCACUGGUGUACGGGUUGUGAUGCCAAUUGCAUUGCCCGGUAGCUAAGUGCGGAAGAGAUAACCGCUGAAAGCAUCUAAGCGGGAAACUUGCCUCGAGAUGAGUCUUCCCUGACCCUUUAAGGGUCCUGAAGGAACGUUUGAGACUAAGACGUUGAUAGGCUGGGUGUGUAAGCGCAGCGAUGCGUUGAG
Molecule: ribosomal RNA, 1622 nt
Filed under: Morganella morganii
Lineage: Bacteria; Pseudomonadati; Pseudomonadota; Gammaproteobacteria; Enterobacterales; Morganellaceae
Description: partial 23S ribosomal RNA
Rfam family: Bacterial large subunit ribosomal RNA
Source: RNAcentral